Molecule: ribosomal RNA, 362 nt
Filed under: uncultured Bacteroidales bacterium
Lineage: Bacteria; Pseudomonadati; Bacteroidota; Bacteroidia; Bacteroidales
Description: partial 16S ribosomal RNA
Source: RNAcentral
GGAGUCUGGUCCGUGUCUCAGUACCAGUGUGGGGGAUAAGCCUCUCAGCUCCCCUAGGCAUCGUAGGCUUGGUGGGCCGUUGCCCCGCCAACUACCUAAUGCCACGCAUGCCCAUCCCGCACCACCGAAGCUUUAGUCCCCAGACCAUGCGGCCCGGGAACACCAUGGGAUAUUAGUGGAAGUUUCCCUCCGUUAUCCCCCUCGUGCGGGGCAGGUUGCAUACGCGUUACUCACCCGUCCGCCGCUAAAACAUACAUCUUCUUCUCCAUCCGAAAACUUCAAAUCCGUCGUAUGUCUCCGCUCGACUUGCAUGUGUUAGGCACGCCGCCAGCGUUCGUCCUCGAGCCACUGAUCAAACUACU